GGGCCUGUAGCUCAGUUGGUAGAGCACCGCGUUUACACCGCGGUUGUCGUCGGUUCGAACCCGGCCGGGCCCAC
RNAcentral lists this transfer RNA (74 nucleotides) under Austwickia sp. TVS 96-490-7B. Its description in RNAcentral is "tRNA-Val". It matches the Rfam family "tRNA". Rfam says of the family: Transfer RNA (tRNA) molecules are approximately 80 nucleotides in length. Their secondary structure includes four short double-helical elements and three loops (D, anti-codon, and T loops). Further hydrogen bonds mediate the characteristic L-shaped molecular structure. tRNAs have two regions of fundamental functional importance: the anti-codon, which is responsible for specific mRNA codon recognition, and the 3' end, to which the tRNAs corresponding amino acid is attached (by aminoacyl-tRNA synthetases). tRNAs cope with the degeneracy of the genetic code in two manners: having more than one tRNA (with a specific anti-codon) for a particular amino acid; and 'wobble' base-pairing, i.e. permitting non-standard base-pairing at the 3rd anti-codon position. Lineage: Bacteria; Bacillati; Actinomycetota; Actinomycetes; Micrococcales; Dermatophilaceae. The record is from RNAcentral.